AUGAACUGCAGUCACACUAAGGGUGGAGGCUACUACCAGAUGUACUGGUACCGACAGCUGCCAGGACAGAACAUGGAGCAGAUGGUGUUCACGACUACUUCUAAUUCUGACUUUGAACCAGACUUCAGAAACGACAGGUCUCCACCACCAAACCUGACGCUGACAGUGGAACGUUGACGGUGCAGAACCUGGAGUACGCAGAUACAGGCGUGUACUUCUGUUCUGUUCACUUGUGUUUCUACAGCCUCCAGAACAUGGACCAGGUCCAACACACCGUCCUCAUCCUGGUUUUAGCUCUACUCUGCUUCAAAGGUUUUACAGAAGGGAACGAUGUAAAGCAGACUCGGAUUCUGUGGAAAGAGAUGGGACAAACAGCCACCAUGAACUGCAGUCACACUAAGGGUGGAAGCUACUACCAGAUGUACUGGUACCGACAGCUGCCAGGACAGAACAUGGAGCAGAUGGUGUUCACAAUGACUACUUCUAAACCCGACUUUGAACCAGACUUCAGAAACGACAGGUUCUCCACCACCAAACCUGACGCUGACAGUGGAACGUUGACGGUGCAGAACCUGGAGUACGCAGAUACAGGCGUGUACUUCUGUUCUGUGAGUCAACACAGUGACACAGACUGAAGGGGAGGCUCAACAAAAACCUACAAAGCACAUUGUGUUCAUCUAAUACACACAC
Non-coding RNA from Sphaeramia orbicularis (orbiculate cardinalfish), 690 nucleotides. NCBI's taxonomy places the organism in Eukaryota, Metazoa, Chordata, Actinopteri, Kurtiformes, Apogonidae. The record is from the annotation of a RefSeq genome assembly.